Molecule: long non-coding RNA, 294 nt
Organism: Mya arenaria
Lineage: Eukaryota; Metazoa; Mollusca; Bivalvia; Myida; Myidae
Exons: 3
Source: RefSeq, a predicted model, not a curated record
GUAAACAUGGCGGUUUCUGAAGCUCAUUUUGUGUGGAUCAACCUUUUCCCUAAUCAUUUAAAAAGAUGGCCAAUGUUGUGUCUGUGGCAAAGAUGAGAAUCCUGUUACCAAACAAGAUAGGAUGGGGAAAGUGGGAAAGCUAAAGAAAAUAAUGGUUGCGUCCCUGCUCAACCACAUGAUGACUGUUACAAAAGAAAUGCUGAAUGACCUACUAGACAGAAAACAAGGACCAAGCUGAAAAUCAUAUGAGCAUCACCAUUCACAGGCGGGAUUCAGUGACUGUGGAGAAAGUGA